This 1349-nucleotide ribosomal RNA is filed under the name metagenome. Its description in RNAcentral is "bacterial LSU rRNA". It matches the Rfam family "Bacterial large subunit ribosomal RNA", at positions 1564 to 2925 of the family's 2925-position model. The record is from RNAcentral.
UGAGUACGAGCUGCUACGGCAGCGAAGUGGGUGAUGUCAAGCUUCCAAGAAAAGCCCUAUACCCGUUAAGGCAUGACGGCCUGUACCCGAAACCGACACAGGUGGGGUGGUAGAGAAUACCGAGGGGCGCGAGAUAACUCUCUCUAAGGAACUCGGCAAAAUGGCCCCGUAACUUCGGGAGAAGGGGUGCCAUCGCAAGGUGGUCGCAGUGAAGAGGCCCAGGCGACUGUUUACCAAAAACACAGGUCUCCGCUAAGUCGCAAGACGAUGUAUGGGGGCUGACGCCUGCCCAGUGCCGGAAGGUUAAGGAAGCUGGUCAGCGCAAGCGAAGCUAGCGACUGAAGCCCCGGUGAACGGCGGCCGUAACUAUAACGGUCCUAAGGUAGCGAAAUUCCUUGUCGGGUAAGUUCCGACCCGCACGAAAGGCGUAACGAUCUGGGCGCUGUCUCGGAGAGAGGCUCGGCGAAAUAGAAUUGUCUGUGAAGAUGCGGACUACGUGCACCCGGACAGAAAGACCCUAUGAAGCUUUACUGUAGCUUGGUAUUGUGCCCGGGCUCUGAAUGCGCAGGAUAGGUGGGAGGCUUUGAUCCAUGGCUUGCGGGUCAUGGUGAGCCAACGGUGAGAUACCACUCUUUCAGAGCUAGGGUUCUAACAGCCACCCGUUAUCCGGGGGCUGGACAGUAUCAGGUGGGCAGUUUGACUGGGGCGGUCGCCUCCUAAAAGGUAACGGAGGCGCGCAAAGGUUUGCUCAGGCUGGUUGGAAAUCAGCCGACGAGUGCAAAAGCAGAAGCAAGCUUGACUGUGAGACCAACAAGUCGAACAGGGACGAAAGUCGGCUUUAGUGAUCCGACGGUUCUGAGUGGAAGGGCCGUCGCUCAACGGAUAAAAGUUACUCUAGGAUAACAGGCUGAUCUCCCCCAAGAGUUCACAUCGACGGGGAGGUUUGGCACCUCGAUGUCGGCUCAUCGCAACCUGGGGCUGAAGUCGGUCCCAAGGGUUGGGCUGUUCGCCCAUUAAAGCGGUACGCGAGCUGGGUUCAGAACGUCGUAAGACAGUUCGGUCCAUAUCCGGUGCAUGCGUAAGAACAUUGAGAGGAGUUCUCCCUAGUACGAGAGGACCGGGAGGAACGCACCUCUGGUGUACCAGUUAUCGUGCCAACGGUAAACGCUGGGUAGCCAUGUGCGGAGAGGAUAACCGCUGAAAGCAUCUAAGUGGGAAGCCCACCUCAAGAUGAGUGUUCUCAUGGCUUAAGCCAGUAAGGUCACGGGAAGAACACCCGUUGAUAGGCUCUACGUGGAAGCGCAGCAAUGUGUGAAGCGGAGGAGUACUAAUAGACCGAGGGCUUGACC